Pelobates cultripes (western spadefoot toad) is the source of this 432-nucleotide non-coding RNA. The record is from the annotation of a GenBank genome assembly. NCBI's taxonomy places the organism in Eukaryota, Metazoa, Chordata, Amphibia, Anura, Pelobatidae.
GUUUUAAAGAAUGCACAAACAUUACAUUUACAUUAAACGUGUGCAAAUUCACCCAGUUGUUCAUAGCAGAAAUAAAAGUGAUAAUGAAAAAGUACAUGAAGUAAAAUGAAUGAAUGAAUGCUGGGUCUUCCCACUCCUGGAGGACACUGGCCAGUCACAAUAUUUUUGUGUUAUAAUUGAACUGUUACACUCAUGACUUCCCCUCGAAACCAUUUCAGUAUUUCAUCAAUAUUAACAUAUGUAACCCCUAGUAAUGGUUUCCCAAGUGAAGUAUUAAGAGGGUUGACUUGUGUAGUGUUUAGGACUUCCAUAGAACACACACAUUUUCAUAUUUGCGUGAUUUAGCUGAUGACCUAGUAGACAUUCCAUCAUAGAGGCAGGAAUUGGCUAAAUGAUCCUGUAUGUUGUGCAUGAGAUUUCCAACCUCCUACC